Molecule: ribosomal RNA, 478 nt
Filed under: uncultured bacterium
Lineage: Bacteria
Description: partial 16S ribosomal RNA
Rfam family: Bacterial small subunit ribosomal RNA
Source: RNAcentral
GACGAACGCUGGCGGCGUGCUUAACACAUGCAAGUCGAACGGUAAGGCCCUUCGGGGUACACGAGUGGCGAACGGGUGAGUAACACGUGGGUGAUCUGCCCUGCACUUCGGGAUAAGCCUGGGCAACUGGGUCUAAUACCGGAUACGACUACUGGCUUCAUGGUUGGGGGUGGAAAGCUUUUGCGGUAGGGGAUGGGCGCGCGGCCUAUGAGCUUGUUGGUGGGGUAAUGGCCUAACAAGGCGACGACGGGUAGCCGGCCUGAGAGGGUGACCGGUCACACUGGGACUGAGAUACGGCCCAGACUCCUACGGGAGGCAGCAGUGGGGAAUAUUGCACAAUGGGCGCAAGCCUGAUGCAGCGACGCCGCGUGAGGGAUGACGGCCUUCGGGUUGUAAACCUCUUUCAGCUAUGACGAAGCGCAAGUGACGGUAGUAGCAGAAGAAGGACCGGCCAACUACGUGCCAGCCGCCGCCGUAA